GGCUUUGGAGGAACACCGAUGGCGAAGGCAGCCCCCUGGGCCGAUACUGACGCUCAUGCACGAAAGCGUGGGUAGCAAACAGGAUUAGAUACCCUGGUAGUCCACGCCCUAAACGAUGUCAACUAGUUGUUGGGGGGGUAAAACCCUUUAGUAACGUAGCUAACGCGUGAAGUUGACCGCCUGGGGAGUACGGCCGCAAGGUUAAAACUCAAAGGAAUUGACGGGGACCCGCACAAGCGGUGGAUGAUGUGGAUUAAUUCGAUGCAACGCGAAAAACCUUACCUACCCUUGACAUGUUCAGAAGCCUGAAGAGAUUUGGGUGUGCCCGAAAGGGAACUGGAACACAGGUGCUGCAUGGCUGUCGUCAGCUCGUGUCGUGAGAUGUUGGGUUAAGUCCCGCAACGAGCGCAACCCUUGUCAUUAGUUGCUACGAAAGGGCACUCUAAUGAGACUGCCGGUGACAAACCGGAGGAAGGUGGGGAUGACGUCAGGUCAUCAUGGCCCUUAUGGGUAGGGCUACACACGUCAUACAAUGGCCGGGACAGAGGGCUGCCAACCCGCGAGGGGGAGCUAAUCCCAGAAACCCGGUCGUAGUCCGGAUCGUAGUCUGCAACUCGACUGCGGAAGUCGGAAUCGCU
RNAcentral lists this ribosomal RNA (638 nucleotides) under uncultured bacterium. Its description in RNAcentral is "bacterial SSU rRNA". It matches the Rfam family "Bacterial small subunit ribosomal RNA", at positions 694 to 1336 of the family's 1533-position model. The record is from RNAcentral.